UACCACUUAACCAAAACAACCUUCCUC
RNAcentral lists this non-coding RNA (27 nucleotides) under Mus musculus (house mouse). Lineage: Eukaryota; Metazoa; Chordata; Mammalia; Rodentia; Muridae. The record is from RNAcentral.